Molecule: long non-coding RNA, 2030 nt
Organism: Vicia villosa (hairy vetch)
Lineage: Eukaryota; Viridiplantae; Streptophyta; Magnoliopsida; Fabales; Fabaceae
Exons: 6
Source: RefSeq, a predicted model, not a curated record
UCAUGAACACUAUAAAUGAAUGUUGAUUGUAUUCAUAUUACACUAAGUUUUGAUAGAGCAUGAAAACCAACUCUUUUAUCUUUGUAUUCUUUAUUAGUGUAUUUAUUAUUAUCUCUCUUAUGGCACUUGAGCAACCUAAAGAUGAGAAACAAUUUGAUGCAACAACUGAAUUUAAAACAAAAGUUGGGAUGGAUAUAUGGAAUCCUAGAAAAGGUUGGGGAAGACCUGGAACUAAAAGACCUGGAAAGAAAUCAAGGGAAUCGAGCUCUAAAGAAAAUAGUGGUGAAGGAGGUGAACAAAAUGGAGGUGAAAAAGACAAAGGAAUGGAACCUGGUGAAAGAUAAAAAUGAUAUAACUUUCAUCGACACUCUUCAUUAAAUUAUAUCCUUUAUAUCAUUUUGUUGAACUUCUUGCUUUAAUUUCAAUUACUAAUGUCAUGUUAUAUAACUCAAUUAUGACAAAAUUAUUAGAAAUGUUAAUGAGAAUCUUCGAACUACUAUUUGAAAGAGAAAUGAAGAUAUAUUCAAAAUACAAUACAAGAAUUUCAAUAACUUAUUACAUAACAAAUCAAAAAAUGAAACAAAAGCUAACAUUAUUGAUAGAAAAAAAUAAACAUAAACAAAAAAACUAUGAUUACAACAAAAAUAAUGGAGAAAAUUAUAAAGAGAAAAUAAAGACUAAAACAACAUAUGCAAAGUUGAUAUUUCCGUAACUCUUCCGAUAUGAUACUCGAGUUUAAAGUUGAUGGCGGUUGACGCUUCACGCGUGGUUUGAUGGCGGCGUCAAAUAGAAUUUUGUGAGUAUAUAUAAAUAUAUAAAGAUAAAUUAUUAAUCAAAUUUUAAAAAUAUCUUUUAAUCUCAACCAUUUAAUAUAAAUUCAAUAGUCUAUUAUAAAUAUAAAUAUAUAAAAACUAAAGUACUUGAUAAUUACAUUAUAAGCCCUCUGAUUAUAAGACUAAAUCUAAUCUAAUUACAUGGAUAAAACUAUCUAAUUGCACAAUACUUGAUUUAUAUUAGUUUGACAUUUAAUACGGCUGUUGUGGCAUAACCAGAAUUAUCAUUGUAUUUUAUUUUUUUUAAUUCUAUUAUUAAGUUAACUAAUCAUUCCCUGUAUUUAUAAAAUACAUGAAUUAGAUGUAAUAGAGAAAGAUACGUUGAAACAUUUUGUUUGGAAUUUGAAAUGCAAUCAAUUGAAAAGUUGCACGGGUACAAUGGAAUAUUAUUAAAAGCCUGCUUUGAAUGAACCAAAAGAACAACUUUCCAUAUUGUGUCAUCAAGUGCUGCCUUUUCAUUUUCUAUUUUCAGUCUUAAACAUUUAAAGUCAAAGAUACCAAAAGAAAAUGCCACAACUUCUCUUCUUCCAUUUCAAUCUUCAAGUUGGAAACCAUCUCAUGGUAAAAUAUAUUGUUUGACACUGUUGUACGAUCCUUCGUUCCCUCUAUGAUUCCAGAACAUAAAUCCAUCGGUUUUUGUCGCCGGUACCAGUGUAUCAUAGACUGUGUAAUGGAAGAACUUAAGAAGUUGGCCCAAAAAUAUCGUUAGCUCUGAGCUUGGAUAUUGCAAAAGUAAUUGACGGAGGGAGCAGGAAGAAUGUAGGCGAUUUAUUAAAGUUUUAAAUCCAACAACCAAUAUGACAGUUAGAUUGGAUAAAUAUUUCCUUUAAGCUAGGAGUUGGUUGUGGAUUGCUAUAUGUCAUUGCAUCAACUAUGAGUAAAGCAAGAUGCUUCGGCUGCAGAAAGAAAUGGGAAUAAUCCUUCAAAAAAUGAAAGGAAAACUUCAAAGUAAAUAACUUCAAAGUAAAGAUUGGGCAGAGAUGAAAGGCAAUAAGGGUUGUGAUGGUUUUCUAGACAUAAUCGACAUUAGACAUAAUCAAAUACACUUAGCAUUGGAAAUGAUUUCAUGUCAUAUUUAGAUGAAAAGUUUAUUUGCAGUUUUAUCACAUAAUUGCUUAUUGUGAAAAACACCUAUACCUAUAAGUUAUAAUGUUAAUUGUUUGAAUGCAAUCAUUAUUUAUAAUUGUUGACUAUUAA